This 279-nucleotide long non-coding RNA is filed under the name Ananas comosus (pineapple). RNAcentral's name for it is "long non-coding RNA (ACOM_LNC012787)". The record is from RNAcentral. Lineage: Eukaryota; Viridiplantae; Streptophyta; Magnoliopsida; Poales; Bromeliaceae.
GCUGCUUCUUUUGCUAUUUGCGAAAUGUUAUAUCUCGCUUCGCUGUCGACGUAUUUGAUUUCCUGAGCUGCAGAUGGAAUACCAUCUAUCUGUCACACCAGUUGGCUUUGAGCGUCAUUCUAAUCAAUCUGCCGGGCAAGAUGCCUAUAUUCCGACUAACGCAGUCGUGACUCGAACUCAAAACAUCUUACUCUGAUAUCAUGUAAAAUAAUCGUUGACUCUAAAAGGUUAAUAUAGUUAACAAAAAUUGGUCGUAAUCUUACUAUCUUGAUUACACAU